RNAcentral lists this ribosomal RNA (467 nucleotides) under uncultured bacterium. RNAcentral describes it as "partial 16S ribosomal RNA". The stretch from base 13 to 373 matches the Rfam family "Bacterial small subunit ribosomal RNA", at positions 40 to 399 of the family's 1533-position model. The record is from RNAcentral.
GACGAACGCUGGCGGCGUGCUUAACACAUGCAAGUCGAACGGAAAGGCCCUGCUUUUGUGGGGUGCACGAGUGGCGAACGGGUGAGUAACACGUGAGUAACCUGCCCUUGACUUUGGGAUAACUUCAGGAAACUGGGGCUAAUACCGGAUAGGAGCUCCUGCUGCAUGGUGGGGGUUGGAAAGUUUCGGCGGUUGGGGAUGGACUCGCGGCUUAUCAGCUUGUUGGGGGGGUAGUGGCUUACCAAGGCUUUGACGGGUAGCCGGCCUGAGAGGGUGACCGGCAACAGUGGGACAAGGAAACGGCGAGAAGGCCUCGGGGGGGAGCAGGGGGGGAUAAUUGGCAAAGGGGCGAGAGCCGAUGGCGGAAACACCGGGGGGGGAGGUAGGGCUUGCGGGGUUAGAAAAGGUUUUGCCUGGGAGAAGCGGGAAGGAAGGGAAAGGGGGAAAAAGAAACGGCUAACUCUGGG